This 527-nucleotide ribosomal RNA is filed under the name uncultured bacterium. RNAcentral describes it as "bacterial SSU rRNA". It matches the Rfam family "Bacterial small subunit ribosomal RNA", at positions 777 to 1304 of the family's 1533-position model. The record is from RNAcentral.
AAUAGAUACCCAGGUAGUCCACGCCGUAAACGAUGUCGACUUGGAGGUUGUUCCCUUGAGGAGUGGCUUCCGGAGCUAACGCGUUAAGUCGACCGCCUGGGGAGUACGGCCGCAAGGUUAAAACUCAAAUGAAUUGACGGGGGCCCGCACAAGCGGUGGAGCAUGUGGUUUAAUUCGAUGCAACGCGAAGAACCUUACCUACUCUUGACAUCCAGAGAACUUUCCAGAGAUGGAUUGGUGCCUUCGGGAACUCUGAGACAGGUGCUGCAUGGCUGUCGUCAGCUCGUGUUGUGAAAUGUUGGGUUAAGUCCCGCAACGAGCGCAACCCUUAUCCUUUGUUGCCAGCGGUUCGGCCGGGAACUCAAAGGAGACUGCCAGUGAUAAACUGGAGGAAGGUGGGGAUGACGUCAAGUCAUCAUGGCCCUUACGAGUAGGGCUACACACGUGCUACAAUGGCGUAUACAAAGAGAAGCGACCUCGCGAGAGCAAGCGGACCUCAUAAAGUACGUCGUAGUCCGGAUUGGAGU